UUUGAUUCAAAUAAUAUAAACUUUGUAAUAAUUUUGAGAUCAAAUAUAAUCCAAGAUAAUGCUCUCCAAAUUUUGCCAACAUAGUUCAAUAGGCCAAAUCAUCAAGUAUUAAGUAUUUACACCUAAUAACAUCCAACACAAAUCUUGAACCACAAUCGAACCGAGAACUCGGAAGUAAAAUUUUGAUCACACUAGGUUGAACCAAAAUACUUGCAUAACCACAAUCAAAAUCCCCAUUAAUCACAAUUAACAAAACAAAAAAUUAAUCAAUCACGAUUCACUAAGAUCAUCAAGCCUCUUCAAAACCUCCAACGUCCACUGAUACCUCUCCUCCAUCUCCUUCCUCCUUUCCAAAUACUCAUAAGCCAUUCUCCCAGCCUUCAUAAAAAUAUCUUCUUUCACCUCCACCGUCUCCUCCACUGUCUCCUCCGCCUUCUACACCGCCGGCACAGCGUCGACGGCGAGCCAGAGGUCCUCGCCGCGGCGGAAGCACCAGAGCCGAACCAGAGCGCCUUCGAACAGAACUCCCCUGCUCCUCUUGAGCACCAGGCUCCAGUUGGCGCUGAUCAGGUAAUCCCGGCCGCCGUUGACCAGCUUCAUGGCGACGGUGCAGGUCUUCAGCGACGGGUCCACCAGCAUCUCCACGACUGUUCUGUCGUUGAAUUUGAUGAUGUUGUCGGCGGAGGCGGCGGUUAGCUGUCUAUGUUCUGCGGCGGUGAGGAAGUUCCGGGUGGAGGGUUGGGAAGAUGGGAGUAGGAGCUUUUCCUGUCGGCGGCGGUGAGUAUUUUUUCGAUGAUGAUUUGGGGUUGGCUGUGGUGGACUCAGAUUGAGUCGAUUUUGGACUUCAGGGGUUCAGGGAUUGCGGCGGAACAGGGGAUGGCCGGCAUUGUUUGUUGUCGGGGGAUUUAGAUUUGGUGGGUUUAGUUUCUGGAUAGUUGGAGGAAUUGGAGACGGUGG
RNAcentral lists this long non-coding RNA (957 nucleotides) under Linum usitatissimum (flax). RNAcentral's name for it is "long non-coding RNA (LUSI_LNC003676)". Lineage: Eukaryota; Viridiplantae; Streptophyta; Magnoliopsida; Malpighiales; Linaceae. The record is from RNAcentral.